Vicia faba (fava bean) is the source of this 228-nucleotide non-coding RNA. The record is from the annotation of a GenBank genome assembly. Lineage: Eukaryota; Viridiplantae; Streptophyta; Magnoliopsida; Fabales; Fabaceae.
AUGCAUCAUAAGUAUUUGUUCUUUUGGAACUGUAAUUUGAGUGCGGUGCUUAUGGUUAUGUCCACCAGCUUUAGCAUUCUUUUCAGAUGUGGUUUUGAAUUGGUUAUUUCUGAGGUCACCUACUUUCAAAUUGAGCAAAAUCAGUCCAAAAGAAUGGACUUUGUAAUGUUGCUGUCUGAAAAAUUAAAAGCAGUACAUCUGUUACAGUGGCAAGUAGUACAAACAUGA